AGCGGGCGUAGCAAUACGUCAGCGGCAGACGGGUGAGUAACGCGUGGGAACGUACCUUUUGGUUCGGAACAACACAGGGAAACUUGUGCUAAUACCGGAUAAGCCCUUACGGGGAAAGAUUUAUCGCCGAAAGAUCGGCCCGCGUCUGAUUAGCUAGUUGGUGAGGUAAUGGCUCACCAAGGCGACGAUCAGUAGCUGGUCUGAGAGGAUGAUCGGCCACAUUGGGACUGAGACACGGCCCAAACUCCUACGGGAGGCAGCAGUGGGGAAUAUUGGACAAUGGGCGCAAGCCUGAUCCAGCCAUGCCGCGUGAGUGAUGAAGGCCCUAGGGUUGUAAAGCUCUUUUGUGCGGGAAGAUAAUGACGGUACCGCAAGAAUAAGCCCCGGCUAACUUCGUGCCAGCAC
RNAcentral lists this ribosomal RNA (405 nucleotides) under uncultured bacterium. RNAcentral's name for it is "bacterial SSU rRNA". It matches the Rfam family "Bacterial small subunit ribosomal RNA", at positions 65 to 514 of the family's 1533-position model. The record is from RNAcentral.